CGGAGCUGGGUGAGAGCUGCCGGCGAUUGGUGAGGUGUGGGGCGCGCGAUUCGGGCGAAAACAAGUCGCUCGCUCACGAGGCGGGGCGCGUCCUAGAUGCGCGUGCACGAUUAAUGACCGGGAGGAGGAGAGGGAGAACAGACGGGCAGAUUCCAGUCAGAAUCCCAUUGCUCACGUUUAUGGAAGGUGGAAGGCACCUCUAAACACAAAAGGAAGGAGAGAGAGAAAGCAGGAAACUAAAGGAUCCUCAAGAGUCUGUCACUCCAUCAGAGAAGGUUAACCUGAAGUUCAGCAUGAGGUUGGGACCUGGGCUGUGGAGCUGUUCCAGCUGUCGAUGCUGCCUGACCUGCUGAGUGUUUCCAGCAUUCUGUGUUCAUGGUGGGACCUGAUGAGGCAUCCACUGGAGGGCUGGGCUUUACUACACUGUCUGUCUACCUCUGGCUGUACCUCACCGGGAGGCCAUUACUGCAGGAUAUACCAGGACAAUCCACUGGAACUGUCAGACCCAGCACAAGUCCAACUGACACGACAGCAAACUCUGCUCUAACUGCCCCACGCUGGACGCUGCCUCUGGAGGUUCAUCUCAUCUCAGUCACCGUCUGGGAACAGAUCACCUGGAGUAGAGGUCCAAGGCAUCCCGUCCACAGCUGCGGGCGGGCCCUGUGGUCAGUCCAGGGUGGACCCUCCAGUACC
Molecule: long non-coding RNA, 693 nt
Organism: Pristis pectinata (smalltooth sawfish)
Lineage: Eukaryota; Metazoa; Chordata; Chondrichthyes; Rhinopristiformes; Pristidae
Exons: 5
Source: RefSeq, a predicted model, not a curated record